RNAcentral lists this ribosomal RNA (569 nucleotides) under uncultured Gammaproteobacteria bacterium. RNAcentral's name for it is "bacterial SSU rRNA". It matches the Rfam family "Bacterial small subunit ribosomal RNA", at positions 812 to 1381 of the family's 1533-position model. Lineage: Bacteria; Pseudomonadati; Pseudomonadota; Gammaproteobacteria. The record is from RNAcentral.
UCGAUUUGGAGUUUGUUGCCUAGAGUGAUGGGCUCCGAAGCUAACGCGAUAAAUCGACCGCCUGGGGAGUACGGCCGCAAGGUUAAAACUCAAAUGAAUUGACGGGGGCCCGCACAAGCGGUGGAGCAUGUGGUUUAAUUCGAUGCAACGCGAAGAACCUUACCUGGUCUUGACAUCCACAGAAUCUUUCAGAGAUGAGGGAGUGCCUUCGGGAACUGUGAGACAGGUGCUGCAUGGCUGUCGUCAGCUCGUGUUGUGAAAUGUUGGGUUAAGUCCCGCAACGAGCGCAACCCUUAUCCUUUGUUGCCAGCGAUUAGGUCGGGAACUCAAAGGAGACUGCCGUUGAUAAAACGGAGGAAGGUGGGGACGACGUCAAGUCAUCAUGGCCCUUACGACCAGGGCUACACACGUGCUACAAUGGCGUAUACAAAGGGAGGCGACCUCGCGAGAGCAAGCGGACCUCACAAAGUACGUCUAAGUCCGGAUUGGAGUCUGCAACUCGACUCCAUGAAGUCGGAAUCGCUAGUAAUCGUGAAUCAGAAUGUCACGGUGAAUACGUUCCCGGGCCU